UCAUAAACAUUUCAUAUAACUAUGAGUCAAGAAUGUCACAUAAGUAUGAGUUCUAAGAACUCGUACUUAAUCCUAUAUUCUCUACCUAUGACCUAUUUAUCUGUAUAUAACAACUAGCGUGACACAACAUUUCAAUUAUUACCAAUGCCACCAACUAAGUAGUUUUUACACCAAGUACAAUUCCCCGCCCAUACAAGAAAUCAUACAACUCAGUUGCCGACACGAGUCCUCAUUGAAAUCCCCACCUAAUACUUAACCCCCUUCUCAAUACGAAUUUCAUUUAAUCCGUAUUCAUAAUCCUUUUCUGAAUCUGUACCAUUCACACAGCAAUCAUGCUUUAAACUUUUCAAUCAUCCGAUUGAUUCUUUCUGGUUGUCAUAACUUUAACAGAUCACGGGGUGAUCUCAUCGUAUAUAUUACGAUUCAAU
This 428-nucleotide long non-coding RNA is filed under the name Panax ginseng (ginseng). RNAcentral's name for it is "long non-coding RNA (PGIN_LNC002633)". Lineage: Eukaryota; Viridiplantae; Streptophyta; Magnoliopsida; Apiales; Araliaceae. The record is from RNAcentral.